AAAACGGUUUGAACCAGCUUUUUUGUGUUGAUACUGAUUUCCAAUUCCUCGUUUUGAUCUGGGCUAUGUCUCCUUGUUUCCAGCUCUUUCUUUGUUAAUAACCCUUAAACACCCACCCACCUACCCAUGGAAGUAUGCUGUCUCUCUGUGUCUCUGUUUGGUGCUACGAACAAUAUUUCGGCGACUUACGGUGAUAUCAAAGUGCAGCAACUUACAUAACAUGAGGCAUGGUGCUGUUUACCGUUGCAGGCCUGUUUAGCAUUUGCCGCUUGGCAGGGCCAGCUGAAAACAUCUUG
Molecule: long non-coding RNA, 296 nt
Organism: Podarcis raffonei (Aeolian wall lizard)
Lineage: Eukaryota; Metazoa; Chordata; Lepidosauria; Squamata; Lacertidae
Exons: 2
Source: RefSeq, a predicted model, not a curated record